GAGGUAUUAGUUAAACACUAACAUCACCUUGUCAAGAUGAAAUCAUGGGUUAAACUCCCAUAUACCUCU
This 69-nucleotide transfer RNA is filed under the name Dryaderces aff. inframaculata DO-2022. RNAcentral's name for it is "tRNA-Asp". It matches the Rfam family "tRNA". Rfam says of the family: Transfer RNA (tRNA) molecules are approximately 80 nucleotides in length. Their secondary structure includes four short double-helical elements and three loops (D, anti-codon, and T loops). Lineage: Eukaryota; Metazoa; Chordata; Amphibia; Anura; Hylidae. The record is from RNAcentral.